GAUGAACGCUGGCGGCGUGCCUAAUACAUGCAAGUAGAACGCUGAAGGAGGAGCUUGCUCUUCUGGAUGAGUUGCGAACGGGUGAGUAACGCGUAGGUAACCUGCCUUUUAGCGGGGGAUAACUAUUGGAAACGAUAGCUAAUACCGCAUUACAACAGUUAUUGCAUGAUAACUGUUUAAAAGUGUCAUCUUCUCCACUACCAGAUGGACCUUCCUUGUAUUAGCUAGUUGGUGAGGUAACGGCUCACCAAGGCGAAGAUACAUAGCCGAACAGAGAGGGUGAACGGCAAAACUGGGAAUGAGACAAGGCACAGAAUGAUAAGGGAGGCAGCAGUAGGGAAACUGCGGAAAUGGAGGGAAGACUGAACGAGCAACGACGAGUGAGUGAAGAAGGUUUUAGGAACGUAAAGCACUGUUGUAAGAGAAGAAAGAGAGUGAGAGUGGAAAGUUCACACAGUGACGGUAACUUACAAGAAAGGGACGGCUAACUACGUG
Molecule: ribosomal RNA, 495 nt
Filed under: uncultured bacterium
Lineage: Bacteria
Description: partial 16S ribosomal RNA
Rfam family: Bacterial small subunit ribosomal RNA
Source: RNAcentral